Cylas formicarius (sweet potato weevil) is the source of this 1084-nucleotide long non-coding RNA. RefSeq lists it as uncharacterized. The transcript has 3 exons. The record is from RefSeq and is a predicted model, not a curated record. NCBI's taxonomy places the organism in Eukaryota, Metazoa, Arthropoda, Insecta, Coleoptera, Brentidae.
AAAAAGAACAGAAAAAUAAUCUGAAUCGCGCCAUCUAUCGUCCUCAAGCGCGGUUCCUUAAAUCACGGAUUAUGUUAACGCGGGGUCAUAGCAGAAAAGAAGAAGAGAGCUGUCAAGUCUGUGGUGAAAAUUCGGUCGAUUGACAUUUUAGAAGUAGAGUUUUUUUUUUGGAGUCGGAACUUACCAGUAGGAACAGCCGAGAUGAAAUAAAAGGAGGAAUAAAUAAGUCAAAUCACGUGCUCUCUGAAGUCAAUAAUUUGAAGGAUACAUAUGGAGAACAAGUAUGAUAUUAAUAUGCCUAUUAUUAACAACGAUUAAGCGUUUGAGAUAUGGUUUAAGGAACUCCUCCGAACUUGAUGCAACCAAAUCUGCAACUUUGGCAGCAACGAUUGGCAAGCAUUGCAAAUUAAAUUAUGAGUAAUUCAUUGGGUAUAGAUAUGUUUACGCAACGCCUCUUACUAUGCCAUCUACAAGGCAUAAAGUGCUAAACAGUACAAAGUGACACUGUAACCUUACGCCUAUAAGUAAUAUGCAAGAUCGUAGAAUGGUAGCAGAAAAUUUUGCGAAAAUUAGGUUAAUAAAGGUCUCUAAUGGAAGUUCAUAUGGAAAUUGUUAAUUUUAUGGCACCAGAUUAAACAUUUCGCUUUCACUAUAAUGAACAUAGUUGUAUGUUCUCUAGGAGCAAUCCGUUGAAUAAUACAUUUAUCAAUUCGCGUCCAGGUGAGGAACGUUAUGGUGAAUAUUUUGUUUCUAUGCCUUGCGGAGCGUUUUUCCACUAAAAUGUUAUUCCUCUCUUUUGUAUUUUAACCAAUACAUCAGUGCAACAAAUUAGACUUCGCGUUUUAUUACAUCUCUGAUGCUUCAGCACGGAAAAUGUGUAUCCUACCUUCAUGCCUGUCACGUGGAAAUGCGAUUUAGAGAUUUGCUCCACCCUGUAUAUUGAAACGCCUGCCGCGUAUACACAAAUCCAUUAGUUCCGCCGAGAGAAUGUGCGCGCCGGUCGUACCACGUACGACAGAAAGUGAUCGGUUGUCAAUGGAUGAAAACAAUCUUCAGAGGCUUUCGAUAAAAAUAAAAAACAAAA